GUCGGAGUGGCAGAGCCCGGUAUAUUGCAAAAGGCCUAAGCCCUUUAUACGGAGGUUCAAAUCCUCCCUCCAACU
Molecule: transfer RNA, 75 nt
Filed under: Eumegistus illustris (brilliant pomfret)
Lineage: Eukaryota; Metazoa; Chordata; Actinopteri; Scombriformes; Bramidae
Description: tRNA-Leu
Rfam family: tRNA
About the family: Transfer RNA (tRNA) molecules are approximately 80 nucleotides in length. Their secondary structure includes four short double-helical elements and three loops (D, anti-codon, and T loops). Further hydrogen bonds mediate the characteristic L-shaped molecular structure. tRNAs have two regions of fundamental functional importance: the anti-codon, which is responsible for specific mRNA codon recognition, and the 3' end, to which the tRNAs corresponding amino acid is attached (by aminoacyl-tRNA synthetases). tRNAs cope with the degeneracy of the genetic code in two manners: having more than one tRNA (with a specific anti-codon) for a particular amino acid; and 'wobble' base-pairing, i.e. permitting non-standard base-pairing at the 3rd anti-codon position.
Source: RNAcentral